UGCAGUCGAGCGGAAGGCUUCCUUCGGGAAGUACUCGAGCGGCGAACGGGUGAGUAACACGUGGAUAAUCAACCUCUUGCUCUGGAAUACCCCGGGGAAACUCGGAUCAAUGCCAGAUAAAGUGCGGUGCUGUCGGGCGCCGUACCAAAGAUAGCUUCGGCCUUCGGCGAGAGACGAGUCCGCGGCCCAUUAGCUAGUUGGCGGGGUAAUGGCCCACCAAGGCUACGAUGGGUAGCUGGUCUGAGAGGAUGAUCAGCCACACUGGGACUGAGACACGGCCCAGACUCCUACGGGAGGCAGCAGUGGGGAAUCUUGCGCAAUGGGCGAAAGCCUGACGCAGCAACGCCGCGUGCGGGAGGAAGGCCUUCGGGUUGUAAACCGCUUUCAGGGGAGACGAAGCUUCCAGGGUUAAUAGCCCUGUGGAGUGACGGUAUCUUCAGAAGAAGUCCCGGCUAACUACGUGCCAGCAGCCGCGGUGAUACGUAGGGGACAAGCGUUGUCCGGAAUUAUUGGGCGUAAAGCGCGUGUAGGCGGCCAAGUAAGUCUUACGUGAAAUCCUGAGGCUCAACCUCAGGCCUGCGCGGGAUACUGCUUGGCUAGAGUCCGGAAGAGGAGAGUGGAAUUCCUGGUGUAGCGGUGGAAUGCGCAGAUAUCNNAGGAACAUCCGUGGCGAAAGGCGGCUCUCUGGGACGGUACUGACGCUGAGACGCGAAAGCGUGGGGAGCGAACAGGAUUAGAUACCCUGGUAGUCCACGCCGUAAACGAUGGGCGCUAGNUGUGGGAGGUGUCGAUUCCUUCCGUGCCGAAGCUAACGCAUUAAGCNGCCCCGCCUGGGGGAGUACGGUCGCAGACUAAACUCAAAGGAUNACGG
RNAcentral lists this ribosomal RNA (871 nucleotides) under uncultured bacterium. Its description in RNAcentral is "bacterial SSU rRNA". It matches the Rfam family "Bacterial small subunit ribosomal RNA", at positions 56 to 916 of the family's 1533-position model. The record is from RNAcentral.